AUAUGUUCAACAAUAUGAAACGUAGUCUUAGGUGUUUUAAAAUGACACCAAGUUUAUUUCGGAUUAUUCCAAAGAAAGAAUACAAGGCGCGGGAAACUUUGAGUUUUGAACAGACAACACAAAGCUGCAUCUCUCCUACCUGUCUUCAAUCAAAUCUGGACCCAAUGACUCAAACAUCAUCUUUGUCGAGGCUAAUUACAGUGUAGGCGUCUCACGCUGCAUCACCGGGGUUCCGUCCGUGACCCUACAGGCCGCGCGUGCAACGAGGAUCUCGUCGUGUCACAGUGUUAAAUACUGUACAUCACACGCCUGUGCCUCCUCUCCCACUGGAAGCCCACCCGGCAACCUCAUCUAAUUGGUUCGCAGGCCCCCAAAGUGAGUGUGAUGACAAUCUGAGCGCCGCUCAGCAAAUCCCCUCCGGCCAAAGGUCCUUCAUUUGGAUCCGAGAGCUUUAUGAAUAACCAGAGGUGUUAAUCACUACCAGCAACAGAUUUCUGUUAUUUUUGGAGCGCAGCGCACUGAAUAUUUCCCCAGGCCCUUUUGGGAAAUGACUUACUUGUACAAAUGUUGAGAGAUCUCUAAUCCGCUCCACUACCGCUAGAAGUAAGCCACACAGAGUUGCGUUGUAAUAUUUGGCAGAAAGUAGAGGCUUUUUAUCCUGUUCAUCCCGGGAUCCCUUUGUCGUUGUUGUCUUCACAAAUGAGCUAAUAAGCAAACAUGCCGAGCAGGAAAGGAUAUGUGGUCCGACUGUUACCGUCAUUCAUUCAUGACGGUCGUAGAUACUUCUACCACGUCAUUAUACCUCAUUUUCUUUCUCCUCAAACUCUUUAAAAAAAAAUACAAUUUCAGUCCACUCAUUACAAAACAAAGCCUCGUCCUCGUCACAUGACUGACUCAUUUUGCCUCCUGAGUAGUUAAUAUCCUGUGAAAUGUUUCUACAACAGUGAAGCUCUGAUCUGCAAUUAUUGGACCAAUUAUUAUGUCUGUAGUUUAGCAAUCAACUGCAGGGAGCAUGAGAACUGUUUGUGUAGUCAGGACGGCUCAAUGACAGUAAGUGCUCUGAGUCUCACAUUUCUCAGCAGAAUGCCCCGGAGGAACCGGGGCUCCAAGGUCGUUGCUUCUACAUAUCGUGACCUACCUAAGAGGCAUGAAUGAGCUCGACGUUGAGACUGAUUUAGAUAACACGCUUUGAUCUGCUAGUGUACAGGAAUCCCCUCAGGAUGGACAAUAUAUAAAAUACACAUAUGUGUCUUCUUUUGUGGAAUAAGAUGAGAGGAGUAAUUAAUGGGCCUUAUCUGUAGCUACUGGCAGGCGACAGCAUGCGGUAUUCACAGUGCAGGUUAAAGGGGCCGAAAUACAAUUACUUUGUGACAUCUCUUUUUUUUCAUAAGAUUAUAAACCACACAAAUCAAAUAGAAUUGUACAUUUUUGACUCUGACUUGGGCCUCUUUCAUAUGUCGUCUGAUGUUUUACGCGGCAACCUCUGUGUGUUCAUUUUGGAAUUCAUGCAACGCUUAAUUCCUCCUUCCUAUGUUUCCAUGACGACCACAUACCACAUAUCUCUAACGACUUAAUGGUUGACUAGAAUUGCUUCUGUGCAUUUCAGUGAAAAGAUGAGAGCUUUUUUCUAAUUUGAAGCGGUGAGAGCGGUGCACUCAGUAAAAAGACAUACGCUCGGUCCUCAUUGGGAACAAACACUGGCCCCCGAGAAAAGGGCGCUAUGUGGACAUGAUCCUGUGUUACCCACAGACUUAUUUCAGGCAUCUAAUCAAAAAGCCAUUAAAAAAGCAGAUCAAUGACUCGAGACGAGGGAACGUGAAGUGUUAUUCUAUUGGCUUCUCUGGUUAGACCCCGAG
This is a long non-coding RNA of Gasterosteus aculeatus aculeatus (three-spined stickleback), 1856 nucleotides long. The record is from Ensembl. Lineage: Eukaryota; Metazoa; Chordata; Actinopteri; Perciformes; Gasterosteidae.